AGGUUAAGCGACUAAAGCGUACACGGUGGAUGCCUUG
Molecule: ribosomal RNA, 37 nt
Filed under: Escherichia coli
Lineage: Bacteria; Pseudomonadati; Pseudomonadota; Gammaproteobacteria; Enterobacterales; Enterobacteriaceae
Description: partial 23S ribosomal RNA
Source: RNAcentral